This 1233-nucleotide ribosomal RNA is filed under the name Brachybacterium paraconglomeratum. Its description in RNAcentral is "bacterial SSU rRNA". It matches the Rfam family "Bacterial small subunit ribosomal RNA", at positions 111 to 1350 of the family's 1533-position model. Lineage: Bacteria; Bacillati; Actinomycetota; Actinomycetes; Micrococcales; Dermabacteraceae. The record is from RNAcentral.
UAACACGUGAGUAACCUGCCCUCCACUUCGGAAUAACCUCGGGAAAUCGUGGCUAAUACCGGAUAUGAGCACUCAUCGCAUGGUGGGUGUUGGAAAGAUUUAUCGGUGGGGGAUGGACUCGCGGCCUAUCAGUUUGUUGGUGAGGUGAUGGCUCACCAAGACGAUGACGGGUAGCCGGCCUGAGAGGGCGACCGGCCACACUGGGACUGAGACACGGCCCAGACUCCUACGGGAGGCAGCAGUGGGGAAUAUUGCACAAUGGGCGAAAGCCUGAUGCAGCGACGCCGCGUGGGGGAUGACGGCCUUCGGGUUGUAAACCCCUUUCAGUAGGGAAGAAGCGAGAGUGACGGUACCUGCAGAAGAAGCGCCGGCUAACUACGUGCCAGCAGCCGCGGUAAUACGUAGGGCGCAAGCGUUGUCCGGAAUUAUUGGGCGUAAAGAGCUUGUAGGUGGCUUGUCGCGUCUGCCGUGAAAACCCGAGGCUCAACCUCGGGCGUGCGGUGGGUACGGGCAGGCUAGAGUGUGGUAGGGGAGACUGGAACUCCUGGUGUAGCGGUGAAAUGCGCAGAUAUCAGGAAGAACACCGAUGGCGAAGGCAGGUCUCUGGGCCAUUACUGACACUGAGAAGCGAAAGCAUGGGUAGCGAACAGGAUUAGAUACCCUGGUAGUCCAUGCCGUAAACGUUGGGCACUAGGUGUGGGGGACAUUCCACGUUUUCCGCGCCGUAGCUAACGCAUUAAGUGCCCCGCCUGGGGAGUACGGCCGCAAGGCUAAAACUCAAAGGAAUUGACGGGGGCCCGCACAAGCGGCGGAGCAUGCUGAUUAAUUCGAUGCAACGCGAAGAACCUUACCAAGGCUUGACAUGCACUGGACGGCUGCAGAGAUGUGGCUUUCUUUGGACUGGUGCACAGGUGGUGCAUGGUUGUCGUCAGCUCGUGUCGUGAGAUGUUGGGUUAAGUCCCGCAACGAGCGCAACCCUCGUUCUAUGUUGCCAGCACGUGAUGGUGGGGACUCAUAGGAGACUGCCGGGGGUCAACUCGGAGGAAGGUGGGGACGACGUCAAAUCAUCAUGCCCCUUAUGUCUUGGGCUUCAAGCAUGCUACAANGGUCGGUACAAUGGGGUUGCGAAACUGUGAGGUGGAGCGAAUCCCAAAAAANCCGGCCUCCAGUUCGGAUUGGGGGUCUGCAACUCGACCCCAUGGAAGUCCGGAGUCCGCUUAGUAAUCGCAAGAU